RNAcentral lists this ribosomal RNA (493 nucleotides) under uncultured bacterium. RNAcentral describes it as "partial 16S ribosomal RNA". It matches the Rfam family "Bacterial small subunit ribosomal RNA", at positions 36 to 507 of the family's 1533-position model. The record is from RNAcentral.
CUUUACCUCUGGCGGCAUGCUUUACACAUGCAAGUCGAACGGCAGCGAGGAGAAGCUUGCUUCUCUGUCGGCGAGUGGCGAACAGGUGAGUAUAGCAUCCGAACGUGCCAAGUAGUGGGGGAUAACCAAACGAAAGUUUGGCUAAUACCGCGUAAGCUCUAAGGAGGAAAGUAGGGGACCUAAAUAAGGCCUUACGCUAUUUGAUCGGCCGAUGUCGGAUUAGCUAGUUGGUGGGGUAAUGGCUCACCAAGGCAAUGAUCCGUAGCGGGUCUGAGAGGACGAUCCGCGACACUGGGACUGAGACACGGCCCAGACUCCUACGGGAGGCAGCAGUGGGGAAUUUUGGACAAUGGGGGAAACCCUGAUCCAGCCAUGCCGCGUGUAUGAAGAAGGCCUUAGGGUUGUAAAGUACUUUUGUUAGGGAAGAAAAGCUAGUUUUUAAUAAAAAUUAGUGAUGACGGUACCUAAAGAAUAAGCACCGGCUAACUACGUG